Molecule: long non-coding RNA, 1174 nt
Organism: Dermacentor silvarum
Lineage: Eukaryota; Metazoa; Arthropoda; Arachnida; Ixodida; Ixodidae
Exons: 4
Source: RefSeq, a predicted model, not a curated record
UCGAUGUGGAUGUUUAAUCGAGUGUACGCUGUGCCGAGAGAAAAUGUCGUGCCCCUUGUGUGCUUUGAUGAUCACCUAACCCCUGGGACCGCGUAACGUAGCUCGCAGUACCUUUCGCGUGGUUCGCCGAUGUCGAUUAUCGUAGUUAUGGCCCGCUUGCGCUUUCUUUGUUCCCGGCCUCUGAUAAUAUCGCAUCGGAUCACAGUGCACGGAAGAAUUUGUUGAGCUAUUACGUGCUGUAGUUCAUCCGCAAUUCAACAGUGUUUACGUCGGAAGGAUCGUCGUGCAGUCGACGCCGCGACCUGACAGGAGCGUUUGCCGACUACGCCUAGAAAGGGAUGUCAAGAUUUCGUGAACCAGAGGCAUCUCUACACCGCAUAGGAACCUAAGACAUUUCUGCAGCCGGAACAGCACGGCAAAUCAUCUGAUCUGCAUGCUGCGACAAGGUAUGGCUCGGCCUGGUGAUGAAGUGUAAGCAGAACAUGCUAUGCUGCGAAUUGGUGCCAAUCUUCACAUCCGAGUUGUUCCCACGACAGUCAAGCACUACUGUGAUUUGCUUCAUUGGCAAGGUGCCCUGCAAGCUCUCACCAAAGCAACACAUUCCACUGGUUUUCUGUCAGAGUACCAUUGUAGAAUUUCGAAUAAACUAUGCUUGUCAGAUGUGCGACAUGCCCCGUCUUAAAAUCAGAGCGCUUCAGUAAUAAUGUUUGAAUGGGUGUACAUAAAAACACACGUAAAGUAUACUUAUGUCUUUCUUUUACAAGUCCUCUUCACCCGACGUUUUUCCAACUUAAAAUUACGCUUUGCUGUACAUUUGUUUUAUGCACAAACCAUUACAGCAACACAACACUGCAGUAAAAUGAGUACAAAUGAUAAAGCAUGCAGUACACCUGCAAGAAUUACAUUUGCAUACUUGUAGUACAUAUGAAAAUGAGCUACCGAUCUUUUUCAGGUUGCAUACUCUUAUAGGUUAUACAUGUCAAGCGCACUCAUAGGUCACACAAAACUCGUUCAAGGCUGAUCUCAAAUCCAUAAGUGCACCAAAUAGAUUUAAAGAGUGACUUAUGUUAAGUGACAUCGGACCAGUCUAAAGAAACCUGGCUCAAAUAGGGAAAUAAAUAGGUUCGAACAGGGUCAAACGGGGAGUGGACUAAACGGGGACAAACAGGUCUGG